This 47-nucleotide transfer RNA is filed under the name Tetranychus phaselus. RNAcentral's name for it is "tRNA-Gln". The record is from RNAcentral. Lineage: Eukaryota; Metazoa; Arthropoda; Arachnida; Trombidiformes; Tetranychidae.
GUUUAAACUUUUUAAGUUUUUGAAACUUUAUUUUUUUUUUCAAAAAA